CCUACGGGCGGCUGCAGUGGGGAAUAUUGGACAAUGGGCGGAAGCCUGAUCCAGCAAUGCCGCGUGGGUGAAGACGGCCUGCGGGUUGUAAAGCCCUUUAGGUGGGGAAGAAGGUCUUGCUACGAAUAGUGGUGAGGAUUGACAUUACCCACGGAAUAAGCACCGGCUAACUCCGUGCCAGCAGCCGCGGUAAUACGGAGGGUGCGAGCGUUAAUCGGAAUGACUGGGCGUAAAGCGUGCGUAGGCGGUAACGACAGUCAGCCGUGAAAGCCCUG
Molecule: ribosomal RNA, 275 nt
Filed under: uncultured bacterium
Lineage: Bacteria
Description: partial 16S ribosomal RNA
Rfam family: Bacterial small subunit ribosomal RNA
Source: RNAcentral